GACGAACGCUGGCGGCGUGCUUAACACAUGCAAGUCGAACGGAAAGGCCCUGCUUUUGUGGGGUGCUCGAGUGGCGAAAGUGUGAGUAACACGUGCGUAACCUGCCCUUGACUUUGGGAUAACUUCCGGAAACUGGUGCUAAUACCGGAUCGGAGCUCCUGCUGCAUGGUGGGGGUUGGAAAGUUUCGGCGGUUGGGGAUGGACUCGCGGCUUAUCAGCUUGUUGGUGGGGUAGUGGCUUACCAAGGCUUUGACGGGUAGCCGGCCUGAGAGGGUGACCGGCCACAUUGGGACUGAGAUACGGCCCAGACUCCUACGGGAGGCAGCAGUGGGGAAUAUUGCACAAUGGGCGGAAGCCUGAUGCAGCAACGCCGCGUGCGGGAUGACGGCCUUCGGGUUGUAAACCGCUUUCACCAGUGACGAAGCGUGAGUGACGGUAAUGGGUAAAGAAGCACCGGCUAACUACGUG
This 468-nucleotide ribosomal RNA is filed under the name uncultured bacterium. Its description in RNAcentral is "partial 16S ribosomal RNA". It matches the Rfam family "Bacterial small subunit ribosomal RNA", at positions 28 to 507 of the family's 1533-position model. The record is from RNAcentral.